UGGGGGAUAUUGCACAAUGGGCGAAAGCCUGAUGCAGCGACGCCGCGUGGGGGAUGAAGGCUUUCGGGUUGUAAACCUCUUUCGCUAUCGAACAAGGCCCGCUUAGGGUGGGUUGAGGGUAGGUGGAGAAGAAGCGCCGGCUAACUACGUGCCAGCAGCCGCGGUAAUACGUAGGGCGCGAGCGUUGUCCGGAAUUAUUGGGCGUAAAGGGCUUGUAGGCGGCUUGUUGCGCCUGCUGUGAAAACGCGGGGCUUAACUUCGCGCGUGCAGUGGGUACGGGCAAGCUUGAGUGUGGUAGGGGUGACUGGAAUUCCAGGUGUAGCGGUGGAAUGCGCGGAUAUCUGGAGGAACACCGAUGGCGAAGGCAGGUCACUGGGCCAUUACUGACGGUGAGGAGCGAAAGCAUGGGUAGCGAACAGG
This 420-nucleotide ribosomal RNA is filed under the name bacterium. Its description in RNAcentral is "partial 16S ribosomal RNA". It matches the Rfam family "Bacterial small subunit ribosomal RNA", at positions 355 to 776 of the family's 1533-position model. The record is from RNAcentral.